Molecule: ribosomal RNA, 935 nt
Filed under: Synechococcus sp. UPOC/S3
Lineage: Bacteria; Bacillati; Cyanobacteriota; Cyanophyceae; Synechococcales; Synechococcaceae
Description: bacterial SSU rRNA
Rfam family: Bacterial small subunit ribosomal RNA
Source: RNAcentral
UGCCAGCAGCCGCGGUAAUACGGGAGUGGCAAGCGUUAUCCGGAAUUAUUGGGCGUAAAGCGUCCGCAGGCGGCCUUGUAAGUCUGUCGUUAAAGCGUGGAGCUUAACUCCAUUUAAGCGAUGGAAACUACAAGGCUUGAGUGUGGUAGGGGCAGAGGGAAUUCCCGGUGUAGCGGUGAAAUGCGUAGAUAUCGGGAAGAACACCAGUGGCGAAGGCGCUCUGCUGGGCCAUAACUGACGCUCAUGGACGAAAGCCAGGGGAGCGAAAGGGAUUAGAUACCCCUGUAGUCCUGGCCGUAAACGAUGAACACUAGGUGUCGGGGGAAUCGACCCCCUCGGUGUCGUAGCUAACGCGUUAAGUGUUCCGCCUGGGGAGUACGCACGCAAGUGUGAAACUCAAAGGAAUUGACGGGGGCCCGCACAAGCGGUGGAGUAUGUGGUUUAAUUCGAUGCAACGCGAAGAACCUUACCAGGGUUUGACAUCCUGCGAAUCCCUUGGAAACGAGGGAGUGCCUUCGGGAGCGCAGAGACAGGUGGUGCAUGGCUGUCGUCAGCUCGUGUCGUGAGAUGUUGGGUUAAGUCCCGCAACGAGCGCAACCCACGUCUUUAGUUGCCAGCAUUCAGUUGGGCACUCUAGAGAGACCGCCGGUGAUAAACCGGAGGAAGGUGUGGAUGACGUCAAGUCAUCAUGCCCCUUACAUCCUGGGCUACACACGUACUACAAUGCUACGGACAAAGGGUUGCAAGCUCGCGAGAGUUAGCUAAUCCCAUAAACCGUGGCUCAGUUCAGAUCGUAGGCUGCAACUCGCCUACGUGAAGGAGGAAUCGCUAGUAAUCGCAGGUCAGCAUACUGCGGUGAAUACGUUCCCGGGCCUUGUACACACCGCCCGUCACACCAUGGAAGUUGGCCAUGCCCGAAGUCGUUACUCCAACCC